Non-coding RNA from Malus domestica (apple), 2082 nucleotides. The record is from RefSeq and is a predicted model, not a curated record. Lineage: Eukaryota; Viridiplantae; Streptophyta; Magnoliopsida; Rosales; Rosaceae.
CAGUCUACCCUUUCUCAGCUUGCAGCUCCAUGCUCCACCUCCAGAUUAUAGCAUCGGGUGUAAGGUUUUCCUUUUCUGUUUUCUUUUUCCCGAUUUGUUGAAUUUGUAUUUUAUUGUUUUCCUAUCACCCUUUGACGACAAGGUAGCAAUUGUGACGGCUUCCACUCAAGGCAUUGGCUCUUGAAGGCGCCUCCGUCGUCAUCUCCUCCCGCAAGCGGGUCACUCUCCGACACUCCGGAGGCGGUACAGUAGCGAGGAGGAUUCGGAUCCGGAGUACGGAGACAGGAGGCGGAAAACGAUGAGGAGGAGGAAGAAAGAUGAUGAUAGAGAAAAUAAGAGGAGGAAGAGAGAUAAGGAGAGGAAGAGAAGGAGGAGAGAGAGAUGAAGAAGAAGGAGAGAGGAAAGGUAGGAGCGGUGAUGAAUUCAUGGGGGAAGUAUGGGAUCAUCAGAGAAACUGAUAUGUGGAACAAACGACCAGAGUUCACAGCAUGGUUACUGGAAGUAAAACAGGUGAACUUGGAACAUCUGGCAAAUUGGGAAGAGAAACAGAUGUUCAAACAGUUCAUGGAAGAUCACAGUACAGCUAGCUUCCCGUUGAAAAACAACAUAACUGAAGGCCAUGCCUGCAGAGACUGAACCAUAACCGAAGCCCAUGCCUGCAUCAAUUGAUUGAAAAGCACCCUCCCCUCACUUUCUCAAUUAUUGGUUGGGAAUGCAAAAAUGGAUGAGCUGAGAAAAGGAGAGAUGUGAAUGUAGAUGCUGCAAAACCCUGCCCGAAAAAGGGAUGAAAGCCAGCAAUUCAACUUGCUACUGCGAUACACAGAUUGACAUAAAAAAAAACAGAGAGACAAUUAUGGAGUGCAUACUGAUGCUGCAUGCACUACCCAGUCUGCCAUCAACAGUGGUGUAAUACUUCAUUAGGUUAUUCUGGGACUUUGUCAACAGCGCAGAGUUCUCUUCACGGCGCAUCACUAUUCCGUGCAGCAUAGCUCGGUAGCAGUUUUAGAAUUAUAUUGGGGACUGUCCAGAUUUUGGUUUAGCUGCAGAUGAAGCAAGAUCAAGAGGUUAUAAAUUAGAGGUAUAAUUUAUUUUUUAUAUUUGAUGCAUCGUUGGAUUAAUGAAUACAGUAGGAACAUUGACUUGGUGUAUGUGUUUUCAUUCAUUUUUUAGAAUGGAAAACUGAAUUUUGUGUGUUUAUGACUCUGUAUAUACUCUGUACUUAUUUUAAUUACAGUAAAAGUGAUUGAAAAUAGCAUUAUUUGGUAGUAAGGAAAAUUAGGGUUUCAAUUAAAGGAUGGCCGGAGGAGGAGGAAGACCUUUGGAGCAAGCACCAACUAGGGCAGUUGUCGAUGUUUGUUUUGUUUUGGUUUUGGUUUCGAUCCACAUCGAAUAUUUCAUUCAUUUAAUGGAAAGGUUUCCUUUCACACGUAAUUGGGUUAAUUUCAUCUUAUGAAGUCACUUUCGGGUUUAUUAUGAAUGCAAAAUGAGGUAUUUUGAUUAAAUUUUAAUUGCACUCCUUGCAAUGGUUGACAAAGAGAAACAAAAGAGCUCUCUAUGAAGCUCUUGAGAAUAUGGUAUUAGGGUUCCUAUCUUUGCAUCUAACAGUAGGAUAAGAUCGCAUUUCAGAUAUAUGUACGUCGAAGGUUGUUGGAACAACUUGGCAUCCAUGCAAUAAUAAGCAAGAUGUCAAAUCGGACAAAGGCAAAGAUAAGAGUGGUGCUUCAGAUGACAACUCCCACGGAAGGCUUCUCUCAGCCUUGAAUUCCAGUGGGGGGUGACCGAUAUGAGCUGCUGGAGAUGACAAAUGUGCUCCCAAGGUGCACUGGAUUGUCCAUGCUUUUAGUUUUAUCAAAUAUGACAAGUUGAUAUACAUGUUUUCUUUGUUUUUUGACUCAUACAAAUGAAACUAAAUGUGAUUUUACAAGGUUGCUUUGAUUGUUGCCAAUUGAUUCUAAAGCAAUCUCCACUGUUGUCUUGCAUAUGAUCUUAAAUGCCAUCUCUGUAGCUACGAAUGUGCUAUACUUACUGUUAACGUGAUUCUUAAACCAUUUGUGCUAAUUGUACAAUGUCUUUUCAUGUCAA